AGUCCUUUCUCCAGCAUCAUGUCUGCCAGUGUGCCACUGUCCUGCCUGCCAUGACGAGAAUGGACUAAAGCUCUGAACCUGCCUCCAGCGGAAGGUACAGCUCAAGUUAAAGGUGUGCCUCAAGAUCUGGUUUGAAGGCAUGCACUAACCUGCUUCAGGACCUGGAUCAAAAGUUCAUGUCUUCUAGCCUCAGGAUUGGGACCAAAGGCAUGUUGUCUUCCUACCUCAAGAUCGGGAUCACAGAGAGGUUCGUGAGAACGGCAAGUUAGAGAGAGCCUGCCCACGAGCUCCAGCUUUGCUUUCCUCCAAAGUGGGUCUCAUCUCACGCUUUCAGAAGCAGAACCAAAUAAAGCACUGUUGAGUACAAUUGAGCUUCAAAUGCGCUUCAUAGAUUGCAUCAACAAAGGCGGCAGAAAGGACAGAAAAGGACCAGGAAUCCCUUGGGACAUGGAAUUAGAUAUGGUUGUGAACCACCACGUGAAUGGUAAGGACUGAAUCCUUUGAAAGAAACAACAAGUGCUCUUAACCUCUGAGCCAAUUCUCUAGACCCAAGAACAGAUGUUUGGCAAAGGUCACUGGCAGCCAGCAAAUGGAAGAGAGCCUUGUUGGAAGAAGUAUGUUAUGUUAGGGUUGGUCUUAGAGACCCUCCUCCUAGCCAUAUGGGAGU
Mus musculus (house mouse) is the source of this 667-nucleotide long non-coding RNA. RefSeq annotates it as predicted gene, 39183. The transcript is spliced from 4 exons. The record is from RefSeq and is a predicted model, not a curated record. Lineage: Eukaryota; Metazoa; Chordata; Mammalia; Rodentia; Muridae.